UACGUAGGGGGCUAGCGUUGUCCGGAUUUAUUGGGCGUAAAGCGCGCGCAGGCGGUUCGUUAAGUCCGGUGUGAAAGCUCCCGGCUCAACUGGGAGAGGUCAUCGGAUACUGGCGGACUUGAGGAAGGUAGAGGAAGGUGGAAUUCCCGGUGUAGUGGUGAAAUGCGUAGAUAUCGGGAGGAACACCAGUGGCGAAGGCGGCUUCCUGGCCUGUUCUUGACGCUGAGGCGCGAAAGCUAGGGGAGCAAGCGGG
This 253-nucleotide ribosomal RNA is filed under the name uncultured bacterium. Its description in RNAcentral is "partial 16S ribosomal RNA". It matches the Rfam family "Bacterial small subunit ribosomal RNA", at positions 524 to 776 of the family's 1533-position model. The record is from RNAcentral.